This 950-nucleotide ribosomal RNA is filed under the name Bacillus thuringiensis. RNAcentral describes it as "bacterial SSU rRNA". It matches the Rfam family "Bacterial small subunit ribosomal RNA", at positions 43 to 906 of the family's 1533-position model. The record is from RNAcentral. Lineage: Bacteria; Bacillati; Bacillota; Bacilli; Caryophanales; Bacillaceae.
CGGGGUACUAAUGCAUGUCGAGCGAAUGGGAUUCGAUGAGUAUGCUCUCAAGAAGUUAGCGGCGGACGGGUGAGUAACACGUGGGUAACCUGCCCAUAAAACUGGGAUAACUCCGGGAAACCGGGGCUAAUACCGGAUAACAUUUUGAACUGCAUGGUUCGAAAUUGAAAGGCGGCUUCGGCUGUCACUUAUGGAUGGACCCGCGUCGCAUUAGCUAGUUGGUGAGGUAACGGCUCACCAAGGCAACGAUGCGUAGCCGACCUGAGAGGGUGAUCGGCCACACUGGGACUGAGACACGGCCCAGACUCCUACGGGAGGCAGCAGUAGGGAAUCUUCCGCAAUGGACGAAAGUCUGACGGAGCAACGCCGCGUGAGUGAUGAAGGCUUUCGGGUCGUAAAACUCUGUUGUUAGGGAAGAACAAGUGCUAGUUGAAUAAGCUGGCACCUUGACGGUACCUAACCAGAAAGCCACGGCUAACUACGUGCCAGCAGCCGCGGUAAUACGUAGGUGGCAAGCGUUAUCCGGAAUUAUUGGGCGUAAAGCGCGCGCAGGGUGGUUUCUUAAGUCUGAUGUGAAAGCCCACGGGCUCAACCGUGGAGGGUCAUUGGAAACUGGGGAGACUUUGGAGUGGCAAAAAGGAGGGAAGUGGGAUUUCAUUGUGUUAGGCGGGUGGAAUUGCCGUAAAGAGAUAUAGGAGAGAACACACCAGUGUGGCGGAAAGGCGAACUUUCUCUGGGUCUUGUUACUCUGACACACUGGAAGGCGCCGAAGGCGUGUGGGGAAGCAAAACAGGAAUAAAAUACCCCUGGGUAGUUCCACGCCCGUAAAACGAAUGGAGUUGCCUAAGUGUGUUAAAGAGGGUUUCCGCCCCUUUAGGUGCGCUGGAAGUUUAACGGCAUUAAGCAACUCCCGCCUGGGGGAGUACGGCCGCAAGGGCUGAAACUCAAAG